GGCUGGUCCGAUGGCAGUGGGUUAUCAGAACUUACUAACAUUAGUGUCACUAAAGUUGGUAUACCACCCCCCCACUGCUAAAUUUGACUGGCUUAAA
Unclassified non-coding RNA from Cavia porcellus (domestic guinea pig), 97 nucleotides. It matches the Rfam family "Y RNA". From Rfam's summary of the family: Y RNAs are components of the Ro ribonucleoprotein particle (Ro RNP), in association with Ro60 and La proteins. The Y RNAs and Ro60 and La proteins are well conserved, but the function of the Ro RNP is not known. The record is from Ensembl. Lineage: Eukaryota; Metazoa; Chordata; Mammalia; Rodentia; Caviidae.